GCCCUGGUGGCACAGCGGUUAAGUGCUUGGCUGCUAAACAAAAAGUUGGUGGUUCAAACCCACCAUGGCA
Non-coding RNA from Loxodonta africana (African savanna elephant), 70 nucleotides. The record is from Rfam. Lineage: Eukaryota; Metazoa; Chordata; Mammalia; Proboscidea; Elephantidae.